RNAcentral lists this ribosomal RNA (1433 nucleotides) under uncultured organism. RNAcentral's name for it is "SSU rRNA". It matches the Rfam family "Bacterial small subunit ribosomal RNA". The record is from RNAcentral.
CUCAUGACGAACGCUGGCGGCGUGCUUAACACAUGCAAGUCGAACGGAAAGGCCCUGCUUUUGUGGGGUGCUCGAGUGGCGAACGGGUGAGUAACACGUGAGUAACCUGCCCUUGACUUUGGGAUAACUUCAGGAAACUGGGGCUAAUACCGGAUAGGAGCUCCUGCUGCAUGGUGGGGGUUGGAAAGUUUCGGCGGUUGGGGAUGGACUCGCGGCUUAUCAGCUUGUUGGUGGGGUAGUGGCUUACCAAGGCUUUGACGGGUAGCCGGCCUGAGAGGGUGACCGGCCACAUUGGGACUGAGAUACGGCCCAGACUCCUACGGGAGGCAGCAGUGGGGAAUAUUGCACAAUGGGCGGAAGCCUGAUGCAGCAACGCCGCGUGCGGGAUGACGGCCUUCGGGUUGUAAACCGCUUUCGCCUGUGACGAAGCGUGAGUGACGGUAAUGGGUAAAGAAGCACCGGCUAACUACGUGCCAGCAGCCGCGGUGAUACGUAGGGUGCGAGCGUUGUCCGGAUUUAUUGGGCGUAAAGGGCUCGUAGGUGGUUGAUCGCGUCGGAAGUGUAAUCUUGGGGCUUAACCCUGAGCGUGCUUUCGAUACGGGUUGACUUGAGGAAGGUAGGGGAGAAUGGAAUUCCUGGUGGAGCGGUGGAAUGCGCAGAUAUCAGGAGGAACACCAGUGGCGAAGGCGGUUCUCUGGGCCUUUCCUGACGCUGAGGAGCGAAAGCGUGGGGAGCGAACAGGCUUAGAUACCCUGGUAGUCCACGCUGUAAACGGUGGGUACUAGGUGUGGGGUCCAUUCCACGGGUUCCGUGCCGUAGCUAACGCUUUAAGUACCCCGCCUGGGGAGUACGGCCGCAAGGCUAAAACUCAAAGGAAUUGACGGGGCCCCGCACAAGCGGCGGAGCAUGCGGAUUAAUUCGAUGCAACGCGUAGAACCUUACCUGGGUUUGACAUGGAUCGGGAGUGCUCAGAGAUGGGUGUGCCUCUUUUGGGGUCGGUUCACAGGUGGUGCAUGGCUGUCGUCAGCUCGUGUCGUGAGAUGUUGGGUUAAGUCCCGCAACGAGCGCAACCCUUGUUCACUGUUGCCAGCACGUUAUGGUGGGGACUCAGUGGAGACCGCCGGGGUCAACUCGGAGGAAGGUGGGGAUGACGUCAAGUCAUCAUGCCCCUUAUGUCCAGGGCUUCACGCAUGCUACAAUGGCUGGUACAGAGAGUGGCGAGCCUGUGAGGGUGAGCGAAUCUCGGAAAGCCGGUCUCAGUUCGGAUUGGGGUCUGCAACUCGACCCCAUGAAGUCGGAGUCGCUAGUAAUCGCAGAUCAGCAACGCUGCGGUGAAUACGUUCCCGGGGCUUGUACACACCGCCCGUCAAGUCAUGAAAGUUGGUAACACCCGAAGCCGGUGGCCUAACCGUUGUGGGGGAGCCGUCGAAGGU